Molecule: ribosomal RNA, 465 nt
Filed under: uncultured soil bacterium
Lineage: Bacteria
Description: bacterial SSU rRNA
Rfam family: Bacterial small subunit ribosomal RNA
Source: RNAcentral
CUUUCGGAGCGCCAGCACAGGUGCUGCAUGGCUGUCGUCAGCUCGUGUCGUGAGAUGUUGGGUUAAGUCCCGCAACGAGCGCAACUCUCGCUCCCAGUUGCCAGCGGUUCGGCCGGGGACUCUGGGGGGACUGCCGGCGUUAAGCCGGAGGAAGGUGGGGACGACGUCAAGUCAUCAUGGCCCUUACGUCCAGGGCGACACGCGUGCUACAAUGCCUGGUACAACGCGUCGCGAACUCGCAAGAGGGAGCCAAUCGCCAAAAGCCGGGCUAAGUUCGGAUUGUCGUCUGCAACUCGACGGCAUGAAGCCGGAAUCGCUAGUAAUCGCGGAUCAGCCACGCCGCGGUGAAUACGUUCCCGGGCCUUGUACACACCGCCCGUCACGCCAUGGAAGCCGGAGGGACCCGAAACCGGUGGGCCAACCGCAAGGGGGCAGCCGUCUAAGGUCAAGUCGGUGACUGGGGCG